AAGUUGAUUGUUACUUUGAAAUUAUUAGUUUUUAUAAGACACAAACAAUAGGUUCGGUUCCCAGUUGUGUAAGAGAGGGUUAAGUGUGAGGGAGAACAAACAAAAAGGGAAGAGUUGAAAGUGUGGAGCGCUUAGAGUCUUUUUAGUUGAAAUUUAUUCCCUUUGCAAACGCAAACGUUUUCAAACCGUUUCGAGAGUAAUAAGCUCUCUCUCGAUAUAGGAAUAAUAAAAAGUAUAUUUUCCUUCCAGAUACACUUUCGACAAAAUGAAAACAAGUCCAUCUGGUGCUAAGCCACAUACUUCCCACAAUGUCAUUGAAUUCAUUUUUCUUCUAAUACUCAUUUUAUUAUGUGUGACUUUCCAUACUUCUGAAGCUAAGCCUGGACUCUGCUCAGAUAUUUGCAACAAACUAUGUCAGGGUGACUUCUGCCGGUCAAUAUGCACUUUUUACUGUUAAACUGUUUUUACUGUCUACUCUAAUUAAUAAUAAUCACGGAUGAGAAAGAUGUUAAAUCAGAAGCUAUGUCAGAAAAGAAGAGAUUUUUAAGAUAAAAAAUCCAGAUGCAGUGCAUUUACCAUUAUGUUUUUAAUUUUUUUCAUUGUUAAAUAAUCAACAACAUGUGACUAAUUUAUUUGUUUGUUUCAUUUU
Molecule: long non-coding RNA, 649 nt
Organism: Parasteatoda tepidariorum (common house spider)
Lineage: Eukaryota; Metazoa; Arthropoda; Arachnida; Araneae; Theridiidae
Source: RefSeq, a predicted model, not a curated record